CAUAAGGAGAUUGUUGGGAAGAUAUUUCGAAAGGGGAAGAGAAUAUAUUACUACUACGACGUCGUUGAUAGUAGCUGUUAGGCUGUUAAUCGUCUCUUUCAAGUAGCCAAGAGACUCCACACUUGAAAUUCUUCCAUUUUAUGAACAAGGCAAUUUCUUUUGCGAGGUUAAAAGGUGCAGGUACUUUGAUUGCUCUCUUCAAUUUGCAACCUAGGAUCUCUCUGCAGAAUUAAAGGUUCCAUUAAAAUUGUAUAGGUAACUGAUACUAUCAGCCUUAAAAGGAAAAGUUACCUACAUUAACAAGUCUUAUCGGAAUACACACAGAGAGUACCAGGGUGUGCUUAGUGGUCAAUGCUGUGGGUUGAGCACCGUGAGGUCUGUUCAAUUUCGCAACAUAGACAUAAAAUACUAAGUGAUUUCUUCUCAUUUGUUAUUGUUUUAGUGGAUAGAGUUAUCUGAUAGUUGUUCCAUGGAAUUACGAAAGCUGGUCUGGGUACCACGGUUAUCAAAAAAGUUUUCCUUUGCUUCUAUUAAUAUUACUUGGAAGAAAUUCCUUAGUGGCUGAAUAUUUUAUGUAUCGUGAACGACACACUUUAAUCAUUUAGGAUGAUCUCUCUAAACAAGCGCAAGCUUAUUGCCAAAUGUCAACUGGCUCCUUAGGGGGUUAUAAAACAUUGACAUUGAUUCGUAAAACUGUAGGCAAUAGUUUGAAGUUGUGUAUCCAGCAAUAUUUGAAGGCACUUAAUUUCUAUAUCGACCUGUCUGAAGUCUUCCUUAUAACUAUGUGCUUAUUGUUGAUGAUGAAGCAGGUGCUUGAUCAGAUGCCUUUUGUGUUCUCCUAGUUACAUUUUGAUUGCUCUUGGGAUCUCGGACAUAUUACAGUCUUGAAAGAGUUCCCAACCAAAGCUUUGGCCGUGGCUGAAAUCAUGGCUGGAACUUCCUUUUUCUCCAGUCCACCACUAUACACUACUAGUACUAACACCAAGUACAGCCAUAGCCCGUCACCAGACAGACUUAAAUUCUUGAUAGACAAGUCAAAAAACAUCAGACAGCUUCUACAGAUUCAUGCAUUUCUUAUUCGCAAUGGUUUGGAGAGUGACCCAGUCUUGAAUUUUAGGCUCCAACAAUCAUACUCUUCCCUUGGACACCUCCAACAUUCUGUUACUGUUUUUAAGCGCACUCAUAGUCCAACUGUGUUCUCUUACACAGCCAUUAUCCAUAAUCAUGUGAUCAAUGAUCUCUAUGAACAAGCCUAUGUCUUAUAUAUCCAAAUGCUAACACAAAAUAUUGAGCCUAAUGCAUUUACAUUUUCUACGCUGCUUAAAACUUGCCCACUUGAAUCAGGAAAAGCCCUUCAUUGUCAAGCCCUGAAACUCGGAUAUGAAUCUGACACAUACGUUCGAACUGCUCUUGUAGAUGUCUAUGCAAGAGGCAGUGACAUUGUGUCAGCUCGCAAACUCUUUGACACUAUGCCUGAAAGGUCCUUGGUGUCUUUAACAACAAUGAUUACUGGAUAUGCAAAGAAUGGGCAUGUCCAAGAAGCAAGAGAGUUGUUUGAUGGGAUGGAAGACAGGGAUGUUGUUUGUUGGAAUGCCAUGAUUGAUGGGUAUGGCCAACAUGGUAGACCUAGUGAAACUUUGGUUCUUUUUAGGCAGAUGUUACUGUCAAAAGUGAAACCUAAUGAAGUAACCGUGGUGGCUGCUCUUUCUGCUUGUGCGCAAAUGGGAGUACUGGAAUCAGGUCGUUGGAUUCAUGCUUAUGUGAAAAGUAACAGAAUCCAAGUAAAUAAACAUGUAGGUACUGCUUUUAUUGACAUGUAUAGCAAGUCUGGGAGUUUAGAGGAUGCAAGAAUGGUGUUUGAUCAGAUGAGAGAUAAGGAUGUCAUAACAUGGAAUUCGAUGAUUGUAGGAUAUGCGAUGCAUGGAUUUAGCCUUGAAGCUUUGCAGGUGUUCUAUGAGAUGUGUAAGUUGGGUCUCCAACCUACUGAUAUAACGUUUAUUGGCAUUUUAAGUGCUUGUGCUAAUGCCGGAUUGGUGUCUGAAGGGUGGACUUAUUUUCAGUUAAUGGAGAAGUAUUUAAUUGAGCCAAAGAUUGAGCACUAUGGUUGCAUGGUGAAUCUUCUUGGACGAGCUGGACAGCUAGAAAAAGCUUAUGAAUUUGUCAAAAGUAUGAAGAUUGAUUCUGAUCCUAUUUUAUGGGGAACUCUACUGACUGCUUGUAGGAUUCAUGGGGACGUAAGGCUUGCAGAGAAAAUUAUGGAGUUCCUAGUCGAACAGGAUCUUGCUACUUCAGGUACUUAUGUUCUGCUAUCCAACAUAUAUGCUGCUGCUGGUGAUUGGGAUGGGGUGGCAAAGGUGAGGGCAUUGAUGAAAAGAAGCGGGGUUGACAAGGAACCUGGCUGUAGCUCCAUUGAGGUAAACAAUAAAGUGCACGAGUUCCUUGCGGGUGAUAUGAAGCAUCCCAAAAGCAAAGAAAUUUACAUAAUGCUGGAGGAGAUGAACAAGUGGCUCGAGGCUCAUGGGUACUCACCGCAGAUUGAAAUAGUCUUGCAUAAUCUUGGGGAAGUUGAGAAGCAGCAAGCACUUGCGGUUCAUAGUGAAAGGCUAGCCAUUGCUUAUGGACUAAUUAGUACUCAGGCAGGAACUACAAUCAAGAUUGUCAAGAAUCUACGUGUUUGUCCAGAUUGCCAUGCUGUCACAAAGCUCAUUUCAAAAAUCACAGGACGCAAAAUCAUUGUUAGGGACCGGAAUCGCUUUCAUCAUUUUGUAGAUGGUUCAUGUUCUUGUGGUGAUUUCUGGUAGAACUAUUAGCACAUGUUAACAAGCAGGCAUGCAGGUUUCCUGUAAAGCGUUCUCUUUUGCAUUUUUGUAAAUUUCUUUUGUUGUUUUGGUAGAAAUCUCAUUUUCACCUUUUUGGAAGUAUUUCUGUUCGUAUUUUAACAUUAUUGAGGUGUGGGAAAACCUUUACAAUAGAAACUGAAUUCAGUUUAGGCAUGAUUGAGGAUAUUUCCGUACUCGCUUAUUCAUUCUGUUUAUUUUGAUGAAAGCAUCUAUACGGACACAAGUCUCUAUAUUUUGUGAAUUCUGUUCAGGUUCACUUAUUCUGAGUAAUUUGUAGACAUGUAAGUCAUCCUCUCUUAUCUUUGCACGUAUAAUCUUUCUUAUGUUUCUCUUUACCACCAUCUUUGUAGUAAAGGGGUUUGAGAAUCUCUUAUUUGAAUAUUGUUAGACUUGAGAUUGAGUGAUUCGCCUUACCUGUUUAUUUGCCUCCUGCCUAAAUUACUUGAGGUUGUUCCUUUUGUCUCUCCUGAAUUAAUUGUCAUGUUCUCAUCUCUUAUUUACUUCUCUCAUAUGGAUCACAUAUGGCUUGUUAACCUGCUGUUUAUGAUGCACAGAGUGUUCUAUAAGCAUCGCAUUGCACCAUGGUACCUGUCGUAGCUUGAUGACAUCCUCAUACGGUGUCAUACUCAACAGGAGCUUAUACAGUUGAAACUGACUACCGUUCCAACUUCCAAAGAAAGAGCCGGAGGUGAGAUUUCAUCACCAUCUUCCCAAAAGCAAUCCCAAUUACAAACUAAUAUCUGACAGCUAAAGUUAUAUUGUUCAUGUGGAAACAAUUCUUUACUUCCUCCCAACCUUACUAAGAAUAGUACAAGUGCUUCAGAUACCACCAAUCUGUGGAAGAUGCAACAACUUGUUGAGCAUUGUCUGCUUCACAGAAAUGCUGCAAAACAGAUCACUUCCAUAGUCCCUUUGUCAAGAAUCUGAUGGUAAAUCAGCUGCAUAUUUUCCAGUGCACUAGGUUGCAAAAUAUGGAAGAAACAAGCGUUUCGCGUCAUCAGAAAGUGACAUAAAUAUUAGCUCCAUUUCAUCUGGAAAAAGAUAAUCCUUUUCUCAAUAUUGUCUUUGCAAUUUGAUUCAAUAGUGUUCCAUUUUAUAGGAAGAAAGCUACCAAAUAUUGAUAGCUCUCAGGUAGAGCAUUAGAACGGAAAUAUCCAUUAGCUAUAUUGGUGUUACGA
This is an RNA transcript of Solanum tuberosum (potato), 4018 nucleotides long. It is a transcript of the gene named pentatricopeptide repeat-containing protein ELI1, chloroplastic, with no coding region annotated. The transcript is spliced from 2 exons. NCBI's taxonomy places the organism in Eukaryota, Viridiplantae, Streptophyta, Magnoliopsida, Solanales, Solanaceae. The record is from RefSeq and is a predicted model, not a curated record.